AUUGAACGCUGGCGGCAUGCUUUACACAUGCAAGUCGAACGGUAACAGGCCGCAUGGUGCUGACGAGUGGCGAACGGGUGAGUAAUGCAUCGGAACGUGCCCAGUCGUGGGGGAUAACUACUCGAAAGAGUAGCUAAUACCGCAUACGCUCUUUGGACGUAAGCGGGGGUCUGUAAGGCCUCGCGCGAUUGGAGCGGCCGAUGUCAGCUUAGGUAGUUGGUGGGGUAAAGGCUCACCAAGCCAACGAUCUGUAGCUGGUCUGAGAGGGCGACAAGCCACACUGGGACUGAGACACGGCCCAGACUCCUACGGGAGGCAGCAGUGGAGAAUUUUGGACAAGGGGCGAAAGCCUGAGCCAGCAAUGCCGCGAGCAGAAAGAAGGCCUUCGGGUUGUAAACUGCUUUUGUACGGAACAAAACGGCUCUGGUUAAUACCCGAGGCUAAUGACGUACCGUAAGAAUAAGCACCGGCUAACUACGUG
This 481-nucleotide ribosomal RNA is filed under the name uncultured bacterium. RNAcentral describes it as "partial 16S ribosomal RNA". It matches the Rfam family "Bacterial small subunit ribosomal RNA", at positions 30 to 507 of the family's 1533-position model. The record is from RNAcentral.